RNAcentral lists this ribosomal RNA (529 nucleotides) under uncultured bacterium. RNAcentral's name for it is "bacterial SSU rRNA". It matches the Rfam family "Bacterial small subunit ribosomal RNA", at positions 777 to 1304 of the family's 1533-position model. The record is from RNAcentral.
AAUAGAUACCCGGGUAGUCCACGCCGUAAACGUUGGGCGCUAGAUGUGGGGACCAUUCCACGGUUUCCGUGUCGCAGCUAACGCAUUAAGCGCCCCGCCUGGGGAGUACGGCCGCAAGGCUAAAACUCAAAGGAAUUGACGGGGGCCCGCACAAGCGGCGGAGCAUGCGGAUUAAUCGUAUGCAACGCGAAGAACCUUACCAAGGCUUGACAUAUACCUGAAAAGGACUGGAAACAGUCUCCCCGUAACGGCAGGUAUACAGGUGGUGCAUGGUUGUCGUCAGCUCGUGUCGUGAGAUGUUGGGUUAAGUCCCGCAGCGAGCGCAACCCUCGUUCUAUGUUGCCAGCACGUCAUGGUGGGAACUCAUAGGAGACUGCCGGGGUCAACUCGGAGGAAGGUGGGGAUGACGUCAAAUCAUCAUGCCCCUUAUGUCUUGGGCUUCACGCAUGCUACAAUGGCCGGUACAAAGGGCUGCAAUACCGUAAGGUGGAGCGAAUCCCAAAAAGCCGGUCUCAGUUCGGAUUGAGGU